This 88-nucleotide transfer RNA is filed under the name Candidatus Magasanikiibacteriota bacterium. RNAcentral's name for it is "tRNA-Ser". It matches the Rfam family "tRNA". Rfam says of the family: Transfer RNA (tRNA) molecules are approximately 80 nucleotides in length. Their secondary structure includes four short double-helical elements and three loops (D, anti-codon, and T loops). The record is from RNAcentral. Lineage: Bacteria; Candidatus Magasanikiibacteriota.
GGAGAGGUGUCAGAGUGGCCGAUCGUGCAGCUUUGCUAAAGCUGUGUACCGUAAGGUACCGAGGGUUCGAAUCCCUCCCUCUCCGCCA